UGCAUGUACCGUCUGUUUGACCUGGAGAUG
Molecule: non-coding RNA, 30 nt
Filed under: Rattus norvegicus (Norway rat)
Lineage: Eukaryota; Metazoa; Chordata; Mammalia; Rodentia; Muridae
Source: RNAcentral